GACGAACGCUGGCGGCGUGCCUAACACAUGCAAGUCGAACGGAAAGGCCCUGCUUUUGCGGGGUGCUCGAGUGGCGAACGGGUGAGUAACACGUGAGUAACCUGCCCUUGACUUUGGGAUAACUUCAGGAAACUGGGGCUAAUACCGGAUAGGAUCUCUUGCUGCAUGGUGGGGGUUGGAAAGUUUCGGCGGUUGGGGAUGGACUCGCGGCUUAUCAGCUUGUUGGUGGGGUAGUGGCUUACCAAGGCUUUGACGGGUAGCCGGCCUGAGAGGGUGACCGGGCACAAGAGGACUGAGGUAGGGAGCAGACGGCAACGGGAGGCAACGGGGGAGAGUAUUACGCAGUGAGCGGGAGCCUGUGACGGCGGCGCCGGGUGCGGAAAGACGGGCUUCGAGUUAUGAACCGCUGUGGCCUGUGACGAAGCGUGAGUGACGGUAAUGGGUAAGAAAGCACCGGCUAACUACGUG
This 468-nucleotide ribosomal RNA is filed under the name uncultured bacterium. RNAcentral describes it as "partial 16S ribosomal RNA". It matches the Rfam family "Bacterial small subunit ribosomal RNA", at positions 28 to 507 of the family's 1533-position model. The record is from RNAcentral.